CUCGGCGUCCCACGCUGCUCCCCUCCCCCACUGUCGCGAAGCUCCCGCCCAAGCCGACCACGUGCCGCGAGCCCGGCGGGGAGAGCCCACUCCCGCGCCCCUUCCGGGCCCACUACCCCGCCGGGCUGUGGCCCAUCGCCCCAGUGCCUGAUUGGCAUCCUCUGCUUCUGCAGAAAACAUGGCUACCAACAGCUUCUGUAUCCACCUGCGGAGGAGACUGACUGCUCUGUUAUUCCCCCAGCAUCUGUGAAGAGGCUCUGACUGGCUAAAGUGAAGGAGUCUGUAGCUUUAGGGGAAGACAGAGCCACAAGAUGGAAGGAGCUUGGAUGUCUGAACUAUUCCAUGGAGAAAAGCUGCAGCCAACGAAGAACACCUGCAAUGGACUCUUAACCUGGGGGUGACGACAACCACUGAAAUAUGCUGCAUCUUAGUCCAGGGAUUUUUAAAGUGUGGUUCCUGGAAGAGCUGGAUCAGAGUCAUCUGUGUUGAUGGUUUAACAUAAAGAUUUUCGAGCCCCAAGACUCAAGUAGGACAAGGAAUUUGAAUUUUUAAGCAGCUCACCUGACUUGUCUGUCCUCUAAUGUCUGAAGACAUCUGACCUCUGCUCUUUCAGUAAAAGCAACAAUGGUUUUAUGAGCAUUGUCGUCACAUCUCUCCACUCAAGGGAUCCUUCUCAUUUCUCCCAGCUGAGGUCACCCACAGCUGCUGCUUCUAACUGCUGGCUUCCAGCCUGCUGUCUGCCAGCUGGCUCUACCCUCUCCUAUAACACGGCAGAGAGUAGCUGUGGUCUCCUGCGUGCUCACCCUCUGCUCCCUUGGUCCUGCUCCAUGCUUUGGUCCUGCACUUAAAUUUUACAAGCAUACUCUCUUUCUCUUAAGAUGAAGGAGCUGAGGCUGGAGAAGUUAAGAGACCCCUGCUAGAUAGGAAGGCACGUGAGAAGUAUACUGCUCUGUCUCCUGUGGAGUAAAAAGACUUUGGCGUUCUCAGAAGAAAACCAAAUGAGAUCACACGAAUGAGACUGCUGGUAAAUGCCAUUUACAGAAAGCAUUCUGCAUAAUAAAACGAUUUCAAAGUCUCAUAAGAGAAGCUAACAUAACUUCCCUUAAUCAAUCUAGUCUUCAUGAGCUCUACACAAAUAGUCCCAUACCAAGGUUUUCCUGUAUGUCUAUCCAUUUAUAG
Molecule: long non-coding RNA, 1179 nt
Filed under: Homo sapiens (human)
Lineage: Eukaryota; Metazoa; Chordata; Mammalia; Primates; Hominidae
Description: HSALNT0112025
Source: RNAcentral